CGAUAGAGAGAAAGCCGCCUUUACCGUCACGGCUCAAGCAAUGCACGAUCACGUUCUUGGUUACACCCAAGGAGCUGAGCUGCGAGGAGAUGCUUACUUUGCCACGGCCGAGGCCGAGGAUCCCGGCUGUUGGAGGUGGAGGGUGUGGGCCAGGGCUCUGCUGAUCGUACCCGCAUCCGAAGGUCAAGUGGGGAUGCAUAGUGGAGCCGUUCUCGAGUCUGAGAGGGAACUCGUCAGAGACGAGAACGCCAACGGAGGAAGCGUGGUCUGAGUAGCCAAUCUCGUAGUCACACUGUCAGCUUUUAUUCAGUUACUCAAUAUAUAAUAUCUUAAAUUAUUUUUUAAAAAAUAUACAUAAUUUAUAUAUAUAGAUUAAUCUUCCAAACUUAAACUAUUAUGUUAUAUAUGAAUAAUGUUUUUAAAUAAAAAUAAUUUCUGAUUUAAAUAAAAACAACAAAUGGUUAUUUUCAAAUAAUGGAUGUAAUUUACAUUAUACUAUCAUUUAACAAGUAUUAGAUACGUUUUGAUAUAUCAUUAUUUUCUAUUUCCAGAAAACAAUAAAUUGUUAAACAUCAAUAUCAUCUAGGUUAAGUAUACGAACAACACAAAUUCAAACAUCACAAAAAAUAUUUACAUAAACAUUAUCAUACAAUAAUUUAAUCAAAAAAUGCAAUUCAAAAAAAAACAAUAUUCAAAAGAAUAGUUAUAUAUUUAAUAUUUGAAAAUCAAAGAUAUUUUUGCUAAAAUUGUACUUACCUGGCCAAGGAGAUCGACCAUCUUUUUACGGAUCGACAGAUUGUUGAGCAUGUGGUCGAUCCGAAAAUACUCUGCAGAUUAAUUAAAUAUCUAAAACAUUUAUUCCAACACUCAACAGAUAGUUUUGCUAAAUAUGAUAACUAUAUAGCCAACAAAAUUACAAAAAAAUAUUUAAAUAGUAAAAAAUAUGUUAAUUUAACGUGUUAAAAUUUUAAAAUAAAUUUUAAUUAUGACAUGCAUCUUAACAUUUUAUAAAUAUAUAUCAAAAUACAAAUAAUUUAACAACUUAAAUUAGAAAAAAAUAAAAAUCCCGGGCGUAGCCCGGGUUAAUCGUUAGUCUCUUUUAAAGAUAAAAUGUCCUUAGAUUUGAUUGACUGGAAAUUAAAAACAAUAAAAAUAAACACAUAUGUACAAUAACUUUUAAAUGACAGACUUACGUUUUUAGACGAAUAUGCUCUUUUAUAGACAAACAGAUUUGUAAAUACCCAAUUUGCUUCAUUGAAGUUGUUGACACACUCGUUUUCUCCGGUAGAAUGUUAGGCUUUUGGGUUGUCUUUACACAAAUUUUGAAAACUGCAUCACAUCAUUAUUUGUUAGCUUUGGGGUGAGAUUCUUCAAGUAUAUGACGGCUAUUUUACCAAAAAAAAAAGUAUAUGAUGUCUACAAAAAUGAAAGAAAGGAUUUUAAAAGAGUAACACGAGAAAGAGAGAAUCAAAGAACAAAUAACGAUACCACUGGUUUCAGAUUAUGCACGAUUCUCUUCUUGUAUUCUGGUUGUUGCAGAGAAUGUUCCUUCAUUUUGUUUGUAAUUUAGGCUUUUCCUUUAAAUGCCAAUUUGCCUCAAAUAGAAACCUUGCAUGCCGGUGUUGGAAUAUUUGUUGAUUUGAGUAGGAGAGAAUUUUUUUUUUUUUCAGUGUUGGACAUAAAUUAUUACACGAACAUAAAUAACACCUCACACAUAUAAAUGGUGAAAUAAAGGUAGUUUUUCAGAGAUUGCUGGUAAGUGGUGAUCGUGGAGUGGAGGUGUGGAAAAAAAUUGUUGGAGUAUUAUGAUUUAGUAAUUACUUAUAUUGUAAUAAUGUAAACUGACAUGUAAUUCUGUUAAGCCUUAAUAGCGUGUUUUAUCUUUUGCUUUAUUUGAUUUUAUCUUUGUUUUAUUAUUUUAAAUAUAAUUUUGUAAUAAUCCAUGUGUCAAAAUUUUAUUGGUCAUGUGACUUGCGCUUUAGUAUAUAGAAGAUACCGAAAAAAUUCCUUGUUUCUAUGAAAACAGCAUAACAAAACAUCCUUAUUUCACUACUAGUAAAGACUCUUCUUCUUCUCUUGUGUCAAAGCUCUCCAUCUUUCUUGUUCUUAGAAGCAUCAGUUCCUGUGAAGAGCUCUCCCAUCAAACCAAAACCUCUCGGAUAUGCCUCCUCCUCCGACAAGUCUCCUCCAUUGUCUUGAUCCACACUGUUUAAAGAAAAAAAAACAGUUUUAUAGAUUUGAUGGAAACAGCAACAAGAAAGAGAGGCGAACAAGAAGGUUCAGAACUUGGGAAGCUUGUCACAGUCUGAAGGGAUCCAUCCAAUCCUCUGCUUCUCAUUGUCGUAGAUCACCAUUAUCCCUUGAAAAGAUAUGUCUAUCACACACACACACACACACACACACACAUAGCCAUAAGACAUUUGUUGUCAAAAGUAAUAAACAAUUAAACAUAAAAAAAAAAACUUGGUUUAUCUCUUUUACUAACCCCCAAUGAUGUUGUAGUUCUCAAGCCCAAUCUCAGUUCCGUUUAGAAUCCCCAAACACACGUUUCCCUUUUCCUGAAUAAACAAACUCUCAAGUCUCAGACACUGCACUAGGUCCUGUAUCGUCAGCAUAUAUAGGUAAACUCACAGUGAUGAUGAGAUAAGACUCUGGAGGAAUCUGAAACACCUGACCGUUCUUCUGACUCCCACCAAACCGUAAACUAAUCGUCUUGAAGUAUUUCUUCACAUCAUGCACCGACUUCAAAGCCCUUUUGUCUUUCCAACACACCGGUAAGCUCUUAUCUUCCUUACUAUCCUUCAAAGCCUUCCCCUUCAAGUCCUUUCUCACAAGCUCAAGAACCGCUUGGUACGCCUCGGCGUUGAAGUAAGUGUAGGAGCUCCCACUAUCGAAAACGAAGCUAACGCCUUUGACACCAGUGGCCUUGUCGUCAAAGAGAAUCUCCGCUGGUCCCGUCUUGUAGUUUUUACUAGGCGGCUUGAGAGCCAGCGAAGUCCAUGUGACACCAGAGGAAGGAACAAGCUCGUCUCCGAUAGAGAGAAAGCCGCCUUUACCGUCACGGCUCAAGCAAUGCACGAUCACGUUCUUGGUUACACCCAAGGAGCUGAGCUGCGAGGAGAUGCUUACUUUGCCACGGCCGAGGCCGAGGAUCCCGGCUGUUGGAGGUGGAGGGUGUGGGCCAGGGCUCUGCUGAUCGUACCCGCAUCCGAAGGUCAAGUGGGGAUGCAUAGUGGAGCCGUUCUCGAGUCUGAGAGGGAACUCGUCAGAGACGAGAACGCCAACGGAGGAAGCGUGGUCUGAGUAGCCAAUCUCGUAGUCACACUGGUCCUCAGGGUCGUCACAAGGUUUGCU
Molecule: long non-coding RNA, 3354 nt
Filed under: Brassica napus (rape)
Lineage: Eukaryota; Viridiplantae; Streptophyta; Magnoliopsida; Brassicales; Brassicaceae
Description: long non-coding RNA (BNAP_LNC019328)
Source: RNAcentral